UUUUGCUGGAGUGAGAGGUCUCCUGGAGCCAUCCACCAAGGAUGGAAGGGAGUUCCUACAGGGGAGGGCCCCGAUGUCUACUGACAUCUGUGACCUAAGUAGCGCCCUGUACCACGAGGCUGCUGAAACAGGAGGGGAAUCGGGAGAGGGAGCCUGCUCCAGAGGAGACUCAGAGGGAGAGAAGGAGAUAGAAGGUGAUCAGCAAACUCGGGUAUUACACGCUUAAUGUGCUUCUGGUCUUCCAUGUUAGGAGGCAGACUGCAAACAUCUUCAAAAUUCUCCUGAAUUUAUAGGUUAAUUAGCAUAAGCUUCUAAAGAUGUGCCAUUUACAGCAAGAUCCCUCUAAAAAGAGAGUCUUGUUGAUGAAAACAAAACUGAAAGCCAAAUAACCAUAACUAGGUUAUUUGAACUGUUGGCUCUGACCCUCAGAUCCAAGGCAAGAGAACUGUGGAACUCAGAUCCUUGGAGUCAAAGGACUUGAGAAGUCAAGUGGUCCGAGGCUUGGAUUUAUAUAUGCAUGUUUAAUGCUUAUCCUUAAGAAACUGAGGCUCAAAGCAGUUGAGAGACUUGCCCAAGGUCACACGGCUGUGAGUUCCAGAGCCUAGAGUAGAUCCCACAUCCUAUUACCUGGAGCCCUUUUCAUUAAAACACCAGCCGCCCUUCCAGCUGAUGAGGUGGGUAGGGUUUAUGACUACUGCAGAAGAACAGAGAGAGAAGUUUAGAGCAGGGUGGAGUUUCAGAGGUAACAUGCCAUUCCCUUACCUGUGAAAUGGACAGUGCCAAUGACCUGCCCACAACUCAGAAAUUAGUGACCCGGCUGAGCCUCGAGCUUCUUGACUUUUGCCCAGGCACCUUGCUUCUCCUCAAAGCUCCCUGAGGUGCCCAGUGGCAUCUCAGGGGAAACUAAACCCAGGGAAGAGGCUUCAGGGCACCUCUGGUGCACAGUGAGGGUUCAAUUAAAUCUACACCAGAGCUUUAGCUCUCCCCAUGACGGUACUUGUGAAAGUUCCCAGGUUUACAGGAGUGGCUGAAUGGUGGCCCCCAUAAGAUACAUCCACAUCAAAUCUCUGGAACCUGUGAAUGUUUGGAAAAAGGGUCUUUGCAGAUGUAACUGAGCUAAGGAUCCUGAGAUGAGGAGAUCGUCCUAGAUUGUCUGGGUGGUGGGCCCUAUGUCCAAUAACAAGUGUCCUUCUAAGAGAAAAGCGAGGGGGAGUUUGACAGAGAAGGGAAGACGCAGAGGGGAAGGUAUGUGAAGAUGGUGGCAGAGAUGUGGGUCAUGCAGCCACAGGCCACCAGAGGCUGGAAGAGGCCAGGCCAGGUUCUCCCGGAGACCCUUUGGAGGGAGCAGGGCCCUGAUGACAUGGCAGUUUGGGACUUCUGGCCUCUAAGAACUGUGAGAGAGUCAGGUUAUGUCAUCUUAAUCCAUGACUGUUGUAGCAGAUACAGGAAACUGAUACUUUUACAAUCUCUACGCAUAAAAUCAAUCAGAAAAAAACAACCACUCCCACAACAAGCACAACAAAAAAACCAAGGAUCCCAGAAGGGAUGAGCAGAAUGUGGUAUACCCAUACAGUGGAAUACUAUUCAGCCUUAAAAAGGAAGGAAAUUCUGACACAUGCUGCAACACAGAUGAACCUUGAGGAAUUAUGCUCACACACACACAAGAACCUCCACUUAUGUGAGGUUCCUAGAUUAGUCAAAUGCACAGAGAGAGAAAGUAGAAUGGUCGUUGCCAGGGCAGGGGGUGGGGCUGUUGACUGUUGUAUACUCACCAUUAUUGUUUAGUACAUGUAGAGUUUUAGUUUUAUAAGAUGUAAAGAGUCAUAGAGAUGGAUGAUGAUGAUGAAUUAAGAUUAUGAAUGUAUUUAAUACCGCUGAACUGUCCAUUUAAAAAUAGUUAAGCUAGUAAAAUUUACAUUAAUUUUUAAAACUGGGCAGGGAAAAACCCAAAAGGCAAGGAUGACAGCCUUUACACACUCACAAUCAUAAUGUUUCAGCAACAAUGGGGUCAGAGAAUGAAAGGCAGAGAAGGAAGGCGGAGUGUGUGGAGACCAGGCCUGUUUUCCAGUGGAAACCAAGCCAAAGUGACUCAUGAGCUGUCACAUGUCAGUGCGCUGACCCUGCAGGACGUUUUUCUGGAUCCCACACCCAUCUGAGGAGGUCAGCACAUCCACUGGGUGGAUCUUGAAUCGACCCUGAACACAAACGACUCCCAGAAGUUCCAACUCUGAAGACAUUUGUGGAAAGCCUCCAAGCCUUCAACUUACAAAUGGCCCUGGCUGAAACCAGAAGCCAGUCUGGUGAGAGGCCCCCGAAGCCACAGCAGACAUUCCCCUCCAGGGAGAAGCCAAGGUGAGCAGGUGAGAAAAAGAUGAAAAAAGUGGAAAAGGAGACUCAUGUUUCUGAGGGCCUCUGAGGAAAAUGAAGGUGGCUUUGAGCCACUCGGCCACUUACCUCCAGGACCUUCCCUGUGAUAAACUGGUGGCAGGCUUCACAUUUCACCCCAAAGAGCCCCUGGUAGUCCUUUUCGCAGUACGGGGCACCAUCCCUGCAAGACAAAGAGUGUUCAGCUCCUGAGAGGAGGCCACAGGGCGGGGGAGACGCCGAAGCACAUCCCUGUGAGCCCUUUUCCACAGAACGGUCGUAGGACAUACUUCUCUGCCACCCAGCACUCCCAUGCCCGGAGAGCCGGUGAGAUACGAUCAAAACACACGGAACCAGAUAACCCACAGAAAUAACAGCCAAACCACCACACGAUCACCACUGUGAUUCCUCGAUUGUCUCAAGUCCUAAGAAGCAAAACCCUGCCCCGCCCUCUUGCACCACCAGGCCAGAUGCGCUUCGGCUGUGGUCCCAGUGUUCACUGCCCUCCGAGGCGGCCCGCACGCUGCCUGCCCCGUCUGCUUGAGCUCACACACCAGAGCCCCCCAAAGCGCUGAGACACCAGCACGUCCUCAGCCCGCAGGCAGCCUGAGGGGCCCGGCGCCUUCUCGGAUAGCUUCCCACAACCUCCUUCGUUCACCUCGGAGCACAGUAAAAAUGCCAUUUUCUCUGUGUACCAUUGCAUUGGAAAUAUUUAAAAGCACCACUCCAGCCAGCCCAGUAACCUAUGACUGCACAGCCUUCAGUGUUCGUUUAAAAGACGGUCACUUUUCUUUUCUUACUUCGGCUGUGCCUCAGAAUCACCUGUGGAGUUUUCCUUCCUAAUACGGCUAUUUCAGCCUCCUCCCAGACCUACCCAGUUAGUUCUCUAGGAGGUGGGGCCCAAGCUACCUUCUUCGUUUUACUAUAUUCUUAAGUUAACUUCAUUUAAUAUUUCUGAAUAGGUGAUAUAUUCACCUGGUUGUAGAACUUUUUUUUAAAGCAUAAGAAGGUGUAUAAGUGAAAAUCCUUCCUCAUCGCCACUGGACCCCCAUGCUUAUCCUUUGCUCCUUAACUCAAAAGGCAACCACUGUAGCUAGUUUCUCCAGGUUACAUUAAAAAAAAGAAAAAAAAAAGGCAGAAAAGCCUUCACUGACUUGAGCUAUAAUCUACACGAGCGUCUGAACCUACCACAAACCCAUUCCCCGGAGGGCCGUCUUAAGCAAGGCCCUAAUAGGUCAGUGCCUAGACCCUGUGUGUCUUUUGGGUGGCCUACAAAUAUGUCUACAUCCUGAAAGAGCAGGACAAAGGUCUACUAGUUCCAAAUAGGGGGCAAGAUUAACCAAAGCAAAAUUAACGAAUGCUUAAUUGGCUACAACAUACAGAGUAACAGGUCUGCUUCACUAAUAGUUAAACCAGGCAAUGAUGAUCAUUUCAUUAAAUGUAUGGUAGGCAAACUAUGGUGAUGGAAGAAUAAAAUUCUUUUCAAAGAGAUUAGAAAAACUAAGACAGUUUUAGAGCAAAGGUUCAUAAUGACUGUGGGACAUGAAUGUCUUUCCUGUCGGUGGGUUGGGGUGGGCGGGUCCCUGAGGGUGGAGCCUACGGGGGAGGGGCCAAAGCACCCCUCCCACAUACAGCAUACAGGAUCGCGCGGCCGAGACCCCGCCUUACUUGCUGAUGUACUCCCCGGUGAGGACCUUCCCGCAGGACUUGCAUUUGAAGCACCCCAAGUGCCACUGCUUUUCCAGCGCCAGCAGCGCCUGCCCGUUCUUGAUGUCUCUCCCGCAGCCGGCGCAAUCUGGAAGAGAGCGGCAGCCGGCGGUUACUGCAUUCGUCCUGCUAACUCCAAGCUUUGAGGCCAGUUCUGAACCCCAGUGUGCACCAUCACACACUCAAUAAAUAUUUACUUGAGCACCA
Manis pentadactyla (Chinese pangolin) is the source of this 4278-nucleotide long non-coding RNA. RefSeq lists it as uncharacterized. NCBI's taxonomy places the organism in Eukaryota, Metazoa, Chordata, Mammalia, Pholidota, Manidae. The transcript is spliced from 2 exons. The record is from RefSeq and is a predicted model, not a curated record.